This 372-nucleotide ribosomal RNA is filed under the name uncultured bacterium. Its description in RNAcentral is "bacterial SSU rRNA". It matches the Rfam family "Bacterial small subunit ribosomal RNA", at positions 527 to 896 of the family's 1533-position model. The record is from RNAcentral.
GUASGGWYCAAGCGUUGUUCGGAUUUACUGGGCGUAAAGGGCGCGUAGGCGGCGUGUUAAGUCAGCUGUGAAAUCUCCGAGCUUAACUCGGAACGGUCAGCUGAUACUGAUGUGCUAGAGUGCAGAAGGGGCAAUCGGAAUUCUUGGUGUAGCGGUGAAAUGCGUAGAUAUCAAGAGGAACACCUGAGGUGAAGACGGGUUGCUGGGCUGACACUGACGCUGAUGCGCGAAAGCCAGGGGAGCAAACGGGAUUAGAUACCCCGGUAGUCCUGGCCCUAAACGAUGAAUACUUGGUGUCUGGAGUUAUUAUUGCUCCGGGUGCCGUCGCUAACGUUUUUAGUAUUCCGCCUGGGGAGUACGCACGCAAGUGUG